CGAAUGGCUCAUUAUAUAAGUUAUCGUUUAUUUGAUAGUACCUUACUACUUGGAUAACCGUGGUAAUUCUAGAGCUAAUACAUGCUAAAAAUCCCGACUCCGGAAGGGAUGUAUUUAUUAGAUUAAAAACCAAUGCCCUCUGGGCUCCUUGGUGAUUCAUGAUAACUCUUCGAAUCGCACGGCCUUGCGCCGGCGAUGGUUCAUUCAAAUUUCUUCCCUAUCAACUUUCGAUGUUUGGGUAUUGGCCAAACAUGGUAGCAACGGGUAACGGAGGGUUAGGGCUCGACCCCGGAGAAGGAGCCUGAGAAACGGCUACUACAUCCAAGGAAGGCAGCAGGCGCGCAAAUUACCCAAUCCCGAUUCGGGGAGGUAGUGACAAUAAAUACUGAUACAGGGCUCUUUUGGGUCUUGUAAUUGGAAUGAGUACAAUUUAAAUCCCUUAACGAGGAACAAUUGGAGGGCAAGUCUGGUGCCAGCAGCCGCGGUAAUUCCAGCUCCAAUAGCGUAUAUUAAAGUUGUUGUGGUUAAAAAGCUCGUAGUUGAACCUUGGGCCUGGCUGGCCGGUCCGCCUCACCGCGUGCACUGGUCCGGCCGGGCCUUUCCCUCUGUGGAACCCCAUGCCCUUCACUGGGCGUGGCGGGGAAACAGGACGUUUACUUUGAAAAAAUUAGAGUGCUCCAGGCAGGCCUAUGCUCGAAUACAUUAGCAUGGAAUAAUGAAAUAGGACGCGUGGUUCUAUUUUGUUGGUUUCUAGGACCGCCGUAAUGAUUAAUAGGGACAGUCGGGGGCAUCAGUAUUCAAUUGUCAGAGGUGAAAUUCUUGGAUUUAUUGAAGACUAACUACUGCGAAAGCAUUUGCCAAGGAUGUUUUCAUUAAUCAGGAACGAAAGUUAGGGGAUCGAAGACGAUCAGAUACCGUCGUAGUCUUAACCAUAAACUAUGCCGACUAGGGAUCGGAG
RNAcentral lists this ribosomal RNA (958 nucleotides) under Cordyceps takaomontana. Its description in RNAcentral is "SSU rRNA". It matches the Rfam family "Eukaryotic small subunit ribosomal RNA", at positions 90 to 1058 of the family's 1831-position model. The record is from RNAcentral. Lineage: Eukaryota; Fungi; Ascomycota; Sordariomycetes; Hypocreales; Cordycipitaceae.